CAAUAAAGCAGAAACUACUGUCUAACUAGCAGAUGCACUAGACAGUAAAUAUAGCAUGAGCAUCUCCAUCUAAAGUUGCACAUAUUCACAGCUGCACCACUUAAGUUACCUGAUCGACUGAUUAUACAAAGACGCAAGAAUUCCUGAACCACAGGUGAGUUGAAUCUAAAAUAACUUAAUACUAUCAAUAAGAGGGGUAUGAUGUAUGGUUACUCGAAUCAUAGCGACGUGACCUAGAACGGCUAAUGCUAUCAAAAGUGGACCCAAAAACUCUCCGACCACUAUUAUAAUUGAUGCCAUUGAAUUGUGACCCAUAUCCAUUAUGAUGGUGUGUUACACCAGGGGGAACUGGCACUUGGGAAUAAUUGGAAGGAGACGCUGAAACCCUGCAUGUUGCAGACAACCUCAUAGAUUGAUUAGAGAUAUCUACAUUGUUCAUUGGCACAGGGUAUGGCCGUGGCCUGUUAGAUGAAUUUGUCGCAGACAUGGAUCCACUGGGAGGAUUUUGAGAUGGUUUGUCUUGCCCAGAAAUC
Molecule: unclassified non-coding RNA, 533 nt
Filed under: Hevea brasiliensis (rubber tree)
Lineage: Eukaryota; Viridiplantae; Streptophyta; Magnoliopsida; Malpighiales; Euphorbiaceae
Source: RNAcentral